UUUUGACAAGCAUUAAAAUCCAAAUUGUUAGCACUGGCUCUCAAUCACGUGGAUUUUAGUAUAAAUCUAUAUGUGUAUUUAUUUCCAUAUUUCAAAAGUAUAAUUAAUAAAAUACCACACAGAAAAAAUACGAAUAAAAUGUUUACACAUAUUAUCUAACAAAAAAAGUGAUAUAGAGUAUUUCAAUAUUAAUUAUUCAAAAUUUUAAAGUGUAGUAUUUUUAUUUAAUAUAUGUGCAAGAUAUGUGUAUAAUAGAUGAAGUUUACUUGCUUUGACCAAAAAAAAAAGAAAAAAGGAUGAAGUUUACUUGUAUUAUUUAAUAAUGUGCAAAUUUUCUAACUAAAUUUUAAAGGAUUAUCCGCACCACUAAGGAGAUCAUUACGUUUAUUUUUUGGAAAAUGAAAUUCUCAAUUUAUAGAUUGUGCGUCAUAUGAGAAUGAAUAUGAUUACCAUUAACAAGUCCUUAACUUGGUUUUUCAAUUUUUUUUUCUUUUGAUAGUAAUUAGUUAAUUGAAGGAAGUUAGAAAAAAAUUUUAAAAAAAAGAAGUUGUUAUGGAAGGAAGUUGAGGUUCCACCUCAAAACCAAUUGGUAAUGGGAGAGUAGUCUAACUCCUUAUAAACCCAGAUUUAAUCUCUUAACUUUUCAAUGUGAGACAAAUACUCGCCACAGUUAUAUAAUAUAAUGAGCAUUAUGUCAACUUAAAUUCAAGAUUAUAGAGCUCUUUGGUUCAAACUUUCCUCAGCAUCUUCGUGUUUGAGGUCGGACAAAACGUCCAAUCCAAUAUUAUGGAGAAUUCCUCUUCCAACCCAGAAAUCAACAUGAACAUAUACGUGCAUAAGAGAUAAUGGGAAUCCUAGACCACUAAAAGUAUCUACUUUCUUCGAUUGGGCCACGAGCUAUGACUAUUGAUCUUGGCCGAGUCAAUAUUCAUCCAAAAUUCAAGUAGUUAAGAAACCGUGUAAACUGUAGCCGGGUCCAUUACACAAGAUAAGGAAAGACUUUAAUGUCAACAAGUCAAUCCAUAAAGCAACAUCACAUUCGCAUCACAAUUUCCACAAUGUUCAUAGUCUCUCAAUCCGACAUAUUAGUAUCCCCUUGCAAAAAAAAAAAAAAAAAAUGUAGAGUUUUGCUUCUUUUGGUUGUUAAAUAUUUAAAAAUUCGAGUUUAAUUGAGUUUAACUUGGAAUUAAAUGCACUGAAAAUUUCUGGAUUAAAAUCCAGUGUAUUAAACCCGCUAAUUUUUUUGGGAGCAACCAGACCUACAAUUAAUAUGUUAUUUUUAAUUUUUCUAUUUACUAUGGAUAACCGCUUAAAUAUUACACAUAAUAAGUUUAGUAAGAAUUAUUUGAGAACUUGAGAUAUGGUUGAGUAUAAUUAGUCUCGUUGAACAAUAAAAACCAAUCAAGCCUUCUAAAUCCAAUUUCUAAUAUACACUGACU
RNAcentral lists this long non-coding RNA (1439 nucleotides) under Prunus persica (peach). RNAcentral's name for it is "long non-coding RNA (PPER_LNC007919)". Lineage: Eukaryota; Viridiplantae; Streptophyta; Magnoliopsida; Rosales; Rosaceae. The record is from RNAcentral.